AUUGGCUCAGAUUGAACGCUGGCGGCAGGCCUAACACAUGCAAGUCGAGCGGAAACGAGUUAUCUGAACCUUCGGGGGACGAUAACGGCGUCGAGCGGCGGACGGGUGAGUAAUGCCUGGGAAAUUGCCCUGAUGUGGGGGAUAACCGUUGGAAACGAUGGCUAAUACCGCAUAAUGCCUUCGGGCCAAAGAGGGGGACCUUCGGGCCUCUCGCGUCAGGAUAUGCCCAGGUGGGAUUAGCUAGUUGGUGAGGUAAUGGCUCACCAAGGCGACGAUCCCUAGCUGGUCUGAGAGGAUGAUCAGCCACACUGGAACUGAGACACGGUCCAGACUCCUACGGGAGGCAGCAGUGGGGAAUAUUGCACAAUGGGCGCAAGCCUGAUGCAGCCAUGCCGCGUGUAUGAAGAAGGCCUUCGGGUUGUAAAGUACUUUCAGUCGUGAGGAAGGUGGUGCAGUUAAUAGCUGUAUUACUUGACGUUAGCGACAGAAGAAGCACCGGCUAACUCCGUGC
Molecule: ribosomal RNA, 511 nt
Filed under: uncultured bacterium
Lineage: Bacteria
Description: bacterial SSU rRNA
Rfam family: Bacterial small subunit ribosomal RNA
Source: RNAcentral